Molecule: ribosomal RNA, 376 nt
Filed under: uncultured bacterium
Lineage: Bacteria
Description: bacterial SSU rRNA
Rfam family: Bacterial small subunit ribosomal RNA
Source: RNAcentral
GACGAACGCUGGCGGCGUGCUUAACACAUGCAAGUCGAGCGGUAAGGCCCUUUCGGGGUACGACGAGCGGCGAACGGGUGAGUAACACGUGGGUGACCUGCCCUCAGCUCUGGGAGUAAGCCUGGGAAACCGGGUACUAAUACUGGAUAUGACUCCAUGACGCAUGUUGUGGGGUGGAAAGCCUUGUGCGGCUGAGGAUGGCCCGCGGCCUAUCAGCUUGUUGGUGGGGUGAGGCCUACCAAGGCGACGACGGGUAGCCGGCCUGAGAGGGCGACCGGCCGCACUGGGACUGAGACACGGCCCAGACUCCUACGGGAGGCAGCAGUGGGGAAGUCUUGCGCAAUGGGCGAAAGCCUGACGCAGCGACGCCGCGUGA